This 695-nucleotide ribosomal RNA is filed under the name Salmonella enterica. Its description in RNAcentral is "partial 23S ribosomal RNA". It matches the Rfam family "Bacterial large subunit ribosomal RNA", at positions 2248 to 2925 of the family's 2925-position model. Lineage: Bacteria; Pseudomonadati; Pseudomonadota; Gammaproteobacteria; Enterobacterales; Enterobacteriaceae. The record is from RNAcentral.
CGGACAGUGUCUGGUGGGUAGUUUGACUGGGGCGGUCUCCUCCUAAAGAGUAACGGAGGAGCACGAAGGUUGGCUAAUCCUGGUCGGACAUCAGGAGGUUAGUGCAAUGGUAUAAGCCAGCUUGACUGCGAGCGUGACGGCGCGAGCAGGUGCGAAAGCAGGUCAUAGUGAUCCGGUGGUUCUGAAUGGAAGGGCCAUCGCUCAACGGAUAAAAGGUACUCCGGGGAUAACAGGCUGAUACCGCCCAAGAGUUCAUAUCGACGGCGGUGUUUGGCACCUCGAUGUCGGCUCAUCACAUCCUGGGGCUGAAGUAGGUCCCAAGGGUAUGGCUGUUCGCCAUUUAAAGUGGUACGCGAGCUGGGUUUAGAACGUCGUGAGACAGUUCGGUCCCUAUCUGCCGUGGGCGCUGGAGAACUGAGGGGGGCUGCUCCUAGUACGAGAGGACCGGAGUGGACGCAUCACUGGUGUUCGGGUUGUCAUGCCAAUGGCACUGCCCGGUAGCUAAAUGCGGAAGAGAUAAGUGCUGAAAGCAUCUAAGCACGAAACUUGCCCCGAGAUGAGUUCUCCCUGAGACUUAAAGUCUCCUGAAGGAACGUUGAAGACGACGACGUUGAUAGGCCGGGUGUGUAAGCGCAGCGAUGCGUUGAGCUAACCGGUACUAAUGAACCGUGAGGCUUAACCUUACAACGCCGAAG